AAGGGCGUAAGCUGAAGGCUCAAAGCCCACUUCAGCUUGUGCAUGGAAACCCCUGUGCUCAGCAGCACAACUCACCCAACCUAAUGACAGCUCUCCAGCACCCCUCCAGAUGUUCCUCAAAGAAGAAGCAGACUGGGAAAGAAGCUCCAGAACAUCUCAGCUUGUUAAUGUCAAGCUGGAAGACAACCCAGGAAUACCCAAACCCAACCCUGGGCUGAGUUGUUAUGAGCAAAGACAGAAAUGAAUGCUCAGUAGCAGAAAGUUCAACGAAAAUAUUUUUAUCAUCUUUAAUUCUUAUUUACAGACCUCACCAAACAAACAACGUAUGUUUUUCUCCACCCAGGCUGCCAGAUGAUGACUUUGAUGCAGGGAAGAACACCCCUUCAGGCAGUCUUUUAUUUCCCUUUUCUUAAAGCAGAUUUGCAAGAAGCAACAUGAUAAAAAAAAAA
Long non-coding RNA from Oxyura jamaicensis (ruddy duck), 449 nucleotides. RefSeq lists it as uncharacterized. The record is from RefSeq and is a predicted model, not a curated record. NCBI's taxonomy places the organism in Eukaryota, Metazoa, Chordata, Aves, Anseriformes, Anatidae. The transcript is spliced from 2 exons.